This is an RNA transcript of Planococcus citri (citrus mealybug), 3982 nucleotides long. It is a transcript of the gene named cullin 3, with no coding region annotated. NCBI's taxonomy places the organism in Eukaryota, Metazoa, Arthropoda, Insecta, Hemiptera, Pseudococcidae. The transcript is spliced from 16 exons. The record is from RefSeq and is a predicted model, not a curated record.
CAUUUUCUUCUCUAUCGUUAUUAUUAAUUUUGUAUAGAGGAUGUACGUAAAAGUUAGAAAAAUUAAAAUAUUUUCAAUGAUAUUGUGCUUUUUAUUAGUUUAGUACCGGAAAAUGAUUUUGUUUCGCAAGUUGAAAAUUCUUUAAAAGUUUGCUGAAUGAAAAUUGUUAUUGCAUGAGUUUUGAAGUUGGUACCUACGACGUUCACCGAUUCGUGGUUAUUUGUCUUGAAAUAUCACAUACUCCAAGUACCUGUAUCUUUAAUUGAAGUCGAACUGCAAAAUGAAAACAUCAGCUCCUAAAAAAGAACCUAAAAUGAGGAUUCGAGCGUUUCCUAUGUCAAUGGAUGAGAAAUUCGUCGACAAUAUAUGGGCUCUGUUGAAGAGUGCCAUUCAAGAAAUUCAAAAGAAGAAUAACUCUGGAUUGAGCUUCGAAGAAUUGUACCGUAACGCAUAUACAAUGGUAUUACAUAAACACGGCGAAAGAUUGUAUUCAGGAUUGAAAGAAGUUGUCACAAAUCAUCUCGAGACCAAAGUCAGAGAAGAUGUGCUGAAAUCAUUGAAUAACAAUUUCCUGCAAACGUUGAAUCAAGCAUGGAAUGAUCAUCAAACAUCGAUGGUGAUGAUACGUGAUAUUUUAAUGUACGUCGAUCGAGUGUACGUACAGCAGAAUGAAGUUGAUAAUGUAUAUAAUUUGGGUUUAAUCAUAUUCAGAGAUCAGGUUGUGCGGCACGGAUGUAUUAGAGAUCAUUUAAGAGACACUUUGUUAGGAAUGGUGAUGAAAGAACGUAAAGGUGAAAUCGUAGAUCGAAGUGCGAUCAAAAAUGCUAGCCAGAUGCUGAUGAUUUUGGGUAUCAAUACGAGGACCGUUUACGAAGAAGAUUUCGAACGGCCAUUUUUAUUCCAAUCUGCUGAGUUUUACAAAGUUGAAAGUCAGAAAUUCCUAGCCGAAAAUAGCGCUUCAGUUUAUAUCAAGAAAGUUGAAGCACGCAUCAAUGAAGAAGCUAGCAGAGCUAAGCAUUAUCUCGAUGAAAGCACAGAGCCUCGAAUUGUCGAAGUCGUCGAACAAGAGCUGAUUAAAAAACACAUGAAAACCGUCGUUGAAAUGGAAAAUUCCGGAGUUAUUCACAUGUUGAAAAAUCAGAAAACUGAAGAUAUCGCUUGUAUGUAUAAAUUAUUCUCUCGAGUUCCCGAUGGUUUGAAAAUCAUGUCAGAUUGUGUUAGCAAAUACUUAAGAGAGCAGGGAAAAGCUCUUGUGCAAGAGGAUGAUGCGGGCGCCACUAAUGCUAUUCUGUUUGUUCAAAACUUGCUCGACUUGAAAGAUAAAAUGGAUCAUUUUCUCCAUAAUUCGUUUUCAACUGAUAAAAUAUUCAAGCAAAUGAUCUCAUCAGAUUUCGAGUACUUUUUAAAUUUAAACCAAAAAUCACCCGAAUAUUUAUCGUUAUUCAUCGAUGAUAAAUUGAAAAAAGGCGCGAAAGGAAUGACAGAACAAGAAAUCGAAACCGUGUUAGAUAAAACGAUGGUGCUGUUUAGAUUUCUACAAGAAAAAGAUGUAUUUGAACGUUACUACAAGCAGCAUCUGGCUAAGCGUUUACUAUUGAAUAAAUCAGUUAGCGAUGAUAGUGAAAAGAAUAUGAUCUCAAAGCUAAAGACUGAAUGCGGGUGUCAGUUCACGUCAAAAUUAGAAGGCAUGUUCAAGGAUAUGACUGUUUCAAAUUCAAUUAACGAAGAAUUCAAAGAUCACGUAACCUCGCUAAAUGUUAAUUUAUACAGCGUCGACUUGAAUGUACGAGUAUUGACUACUGGUUUCUGGCCCACUCAAAGCGCCACUAAAUGUAAUAUACCCAUUGCGCCUAAUUCAGCGUUCGAAGCUUUCCGAAGAUUUUACUUGGGUAAACAUAGUGGCCGUCAGUUGACGCUACAACCUCAACUUGGUAAUGCCGAUUUGAACGCGGUUUUCUUCGGGGCUAAACGCGACGAAAGUGAGUCACCCAGAGACGCUGCGCCGAUUCCGUCAACAUCAUCUUUUGUAACUCCGACGUCGACGUCUUGCGGCAGCAAUACACCUGUCGUCUCAUCGACGUUUGGUACCAGUUCGCCGUUCGCGUCGGAAAAAUUCGCUCCGACUCGUAAACAUAUUAUUAGCGUAUCAACGUAUCAAAUGUGUAUACUUAUGUUAUUCAAUAAUCGUGAAAAAUUAACGUACGAGGAGUUACAAAACGAAACAGAAAUUCCUGAAAAAGAUUUAGUCAGAGCGUUACAGUCAUUAGCACUAGGUAAAAUUUCGCAGCGUGUAUUGGUUAAAGAACCAAGAACGAAAGAAUUCGAAGUCAAUCACGUUUUCUCCGUUAACGACGCGUUCUCGUCGAAAUUACACAGGAUUAAGAUACAAACUGUCGCUGCUAAAGGCGAAUCGGAACCUGAACGAAGGGAAACUAGAAAUAAAGUUGAUGAAGAUCGUAAACAUGAAAUCGAAGCCGCUAUUGUCAGAAUUAUGAAAGCUAGAAAACGAAUGCCGCACAACGUAUUGGUCGCAGAAGUAACAGAACAGCUGAAAAGCCGUUUUAUGCCUCAUCCUAUUAUAAUUAAGAAACGUAUCGAAGGAUUAAUUGAACGUGAAUAUUUAGCUCGUACUCCCGAGGACAGAAAAAUUUACACAUACGUCGCCUAAGAAUAGAAAAUUGAAUUAUGGAAAAAUUGCAAUAACUCGACAGCAUUAUAAUGGUUUAAGUACUUGCAAAUUCAUGUGUAAUGUCACAAAGGAAAAUAGCUUAUUUGAAAUAUCUUAUCAAAUUUCAUGUAUUUAAUUUGGGAAGCUGAAAAGAAAUACGCAUAAAUUGAGUAGAUAAUUCGAAUGUAUAAUUUUACACGUUACAGUUCUGUAUUUCCCCCCUGAAUUUAUUGAUUUAAAUUGUACGUCUUUUUUUUCAUCUGCUCUUUCGAUAAUGUAUUCUCGUGUGGUGUUUAUCGCAUAUAUAUUACAUAUAUUACGUAUAUAGCUGAAUUAAAUUUUUUGUGAUUUUUCUUAUUACAUUAUGGUUUUUUUAAGGCGAAGAUCGAAUACUCGCAUUGAAUACUGGUCGUUGUAGUAGUUAAUGUUCCACGAAAUGCCUAGAUCAGGUUCAUAGCGACGUUGUAAAUAAUUUUUUUUUAUUCAGGGAAGUUUUUUUUCUUAGUUGAUAUUAUCGUUUGUGUUUUUUUUUUCGAGGGUAAAUUGGAGCUUAGUUAUUUUUGCUUCGUCUAAUUAAUGCGUUUAGUUCUUUGUACUAUAAUCUCGAAUACCUACGUAUGCUGUAUAUGAUACUUACAAACGUGUUUAUCGGUUAAAAGUAUCCUCCUCCCUUCCAGUACUAUUAGAAAGGGUAGCCCAUAUCUUAAUUAUGGUUUUUAAUGCUCGACAAUGUUUAUAUGUAUUGUUACGGUACCUAUUUUAAGAUUUACUAAUUAUUUUUAACGUGUUUUGUUGACUACGAUGAAAGGCGAAUUUAUUUUUCUCAAACAAAAACAAAUGCUGUUUUUGAGUUUCGUUGAGAAGAAUAAUGAAUAAGUCUACAGGAGGGGUACGGAAGGUGAUAAGGAUUUUGUGAUCGUUGUGGUUUUCAACAUUUAAUAUUUAACAGAUUUAACUUUAUUAUAUCUCGCUUUCGAAAUUCGAAAAUAAUGUUGAGCUGAGAAUCCAAUUUUUGGUAGUAUCAUGCGUUGACAAUAAGUGUACGUUGUUGUAUAAAAGAAUAUUAUCCUAUCCCUAUCGAUCAUGUUUUUAUUUAUCGAGUCACUAAGUUAAAAUAUAUAACGCAGUUGUCGAAUUUCUUCUACUCUUAUGAUUUUUCCCUUUCGAUUUUUCGCUAAUGAAUUAUGUAGUGAGUUAUAAGGUAAUGCGUUGUUGUUUUAAAUUUGGAAUUGUAUAUUUUUUUUAUAUUUUGUUAAUUAUAGUUAUUCCGUUUCUUGUGUAUUAAUAUAUUUCAAAUAAUUAAUUUUUCACGAA